This 162-nucleotide non-coding RNA is filed under the name Olea europaea subsp. europaea. Lineage: Eukaryota; Viridiplantae; Streptophyta; Magnoliopsida; Lamiales; Oleaceae. The record is from RNAcentral.
AAUAACCAAAUAUAAUACUUGGGCUAAGGGUCAAGUUGGUAAUUUUUCUUACAUAAUGACAAGAUUAUCAUAUAGUUUUUCAGAACCAUUACCAGGAGCACAAAGAGAUAAUGACGUGAGAGAAGAUGAUGAAGGCCAUGGAGCUUCAAUAUUGUCAUUCAA